This 1080-nucleotide ribosomal RNA is filed under the name Luckia striki. RNAcentral's name for it is "partial large subunit ribosomal RNA". Lineage: Eukaryota; Metazoa; Arthropoda; Malacostraca; Amphipoda; Pontogeneiidae. The record is from RNAcentral.
CUGACACCAUGGAUUUGCACGUCACAACGGAUACGGGCUUCCACCCCAGUUUCCUGGGGCUUCGCCCUCGUCAGGCAUAGUUCACUAUCUUUCGGGUUAUAGCAUACACGCUACACAGUACUCCGAAGGAACGAACGCUUCGAUAAAAAAACAUCCGCUCCAAAUAGAGUCUGGGGUUUGCGCCGACGCAUCGGCUAUCGCCUUUUUUGCGAAGGAUCAACCCGGUUGUAGCCGUGUGACGCAUUCAUCCACGCGCGCAAAUAAAUGCACUCGUAGGAAUUACGUAUGUCACGCUCGGCUGCACGCCGCCAGCAAUUACUCACUCGCGGCGAACACACCAUUCGCUUUCACUUCGCCUCCGGGUUUUGUGAGACCCUUAGACUCGCGCACAUGCUAUGCUCCUUGGCCCGUGUUUCGAGACGUGACCAAUGGUUCCGGGAAUAUUCACCUGUCAUUCGCAAAAACCAACGGCGAGCUUUCGGCUAAGAACACGCUCGAGAAUAAACUCGAUACAUGAGCUCUCCUACUUGCAUAAGUCAUUCCGUACGCGAUUUUGAACGUUCUGCCGCGUCUGAUAGACGAGCAUUCUGGAUUUGGAAUGGUCAGAAAACAACCUUCUCGAGGAUCGUACAGUGACGCGCGUUAGACAGAGUCAUUGAACGGCCGGCCCCCGAUCACGUGCUGGGCGUGCACUACACACACGCACCCGCACUCACAUUCGACAGACMCGUGUCCGUCAAAUGCGCGAUCGGAGGCUAUAACGCGCCGACAACAACAUUUAUAAUCUCUGUGACUCGCGCGUGGACCUCGAAAAGAGUCGCGGUGGGUUGUCGCGUUGAUCGGCGUAACGAAAAUGCGGGCCCGCUUUUAACAAGUCUAAGCUUCGGGAGACUAUUCUCGCAAUAAAGAGAGAACAUUCCCCUUGUACCAGACCCGCGGAUAUUACAGGAUAGUGAUAUCAUUUUACUGCCACUUUUCCGCCCCCAUCGUGAAUUCGUUACGCGCAACUUUUAACGUUAUGGACUCAUCCAUACCGCCCGAUCCAUACCUCCCGAAUUACCAUUGGCUUAUACUCUGAAC